UCGGGAUAUUGGGCGUAAGGGCUCGCAGGCGGUUUCUUAAGUCUGAUGUGAAAGCCCCCGGCUCAACCGGGGAGGGUCAUUGGAAACUGGGAAACUUGAGUGCAGAAGAGGAGAGUGGAAUUCCAUGUGUAGCGGUGAAAUGCGUAGAGAUGUGGAGGAACACCAGUGGCGAAGGCGACUCUCUGGUCUGUAACUGACGCUGAUGUGCGAAAGCGUGGGGAGCGAACAGGAUUAGAUACCCUGGUAGUCCACGCCGUAAACGAUGAGUGCUAAGUGUUAGGGGGUUUCCGCCCCUUAAUGCUGCAGCUAACGCAUUAAGCACUCCGCCUGGGGAAUACA
Molecule: ribosomal RNA, 339 nt
Filed under: Bacillus pumilus
Lineage: Bacteria; Bacillati; Bacillota; Bacilli; Caryophanales; Bacillaceae
Description: bacterial SSU rRNA
Rfam family: Bacterial small subunit ribosomal RNA
Source: RNAcentral